RNAcentral lists this ribosomal RNA (471 nucleotides) under uncultured organism. RNAcentral's name for it is "partial 16S ribosomal RNA". It matches the Rfam family "Bacterial small subunit ribosomal RNA", at positions 335 to 797 of the family's 1533-position model. The record is from RNAcentral.
ACUCCUACGGGAGGCAGCAGUGGGGAAUAUUGCACAAUGGGCGCAAGCCUGAUGCAGCCAUGCCGCGUGUAUGAAGAAGGCCUUCGGGUUGUAAAGUACUUUCAGCGGGGAGGAAGGCGAUAAGGUUAAUAACCUUGUCGAUUGACGUUACCCGCAGAAGAAGCACCGGCUAACUCCGUGCCAGCAGCCGCGGUAAUACGGAGGGUGCAAGCGUUAAUCGGAAUUACUGGGCGUAAAGCGCACGCAGGCGGUCUGUCAAGUCGGAUGUGAAAUCCCCGGGCUCAACCUGGGAGCUGCAUUCGAAACUGGCAGGCUAGAGUCUUGUAGAGGGGGGUAGAAUUCCAGGUGUAGCGGUGAAAUGCGUAGAGAUCUGGAGGAAUACCGGUGGCGAAGGCGGCCCCCUGGACAAAGACUGACGCUCAGGUGCGAAAGCGUGGGGAGCAAACAGGAUUAGAUACCCCAGUAGUCCCA